Molecule: non-coding RNA, 814 nt
Filed under: Typhlocyba choui
Lineage: Eukaryota; Metazoa; Arthropoda; Insecta; Hemiptera; Cicadellidae
Source: RNAcentral
CCUAUGUCAUCUCCCAGCAUAAUCAUAUAUUUUUAUCGGGAGUUAUAUUGUAAUAAUUAACUACAUUUAUAUAUUAAAUAUUCAGAAGUUUUAUUCUUGCUUUAACUAUUAAAUAUUUAUAUUAAUUAUAUGUUUUUUGUUAAAAUAUUUUUUUUCAGUAAUUAAUAUUAUUAUUUAUUUUUAUUUUUAUUUAGAUAUAUAAUUUUAUUAGAUUAAAAUUGUGCCAGCAUUCGCGGUUAUACAAUUUAUUAAAUUUAAUACUUUUAGUAACAAUAAUUUUAUUUAUUGAAUCUUAUAUUUUAAAGGUUUGGUGGAAUUUUUCUUUCAAAAUUAAUUUCUCUUAAUCUUUUAUUAAAUUUAUUUAUUAAACUAGGAUUAGAUACCCUACUAUUUUAAAUUUAAAUUUUAACUUGAAUAUUAUCAGAUAUGUUCUGUUAAACUCAAAGAAUUUGGCGGUAAUUUAUUUGUUUAGAGGAAUUUGAUUAGUAAUUGAUGAACCACGAUAAUUUCAACUUUUAUUUUGACUUGUAUAUCUCUAUAAUAAGGAAUGUUUUAUAAAAAUAUUUUCUUUUUUUAUYUUAAAAUUUAUGUUAGGUCAAGGUGCAGUUUUAUUUAAGUUAAUUUGAAUUACUUUAAUAUUAAAUAUUUUUAYAGAAGGUUUUUAUUCCAAUUUGAUUUAGAAUUUAAUAGUAAUUUUAAACAAUUAUUUUUUUUGAAUUUUACACUAAAUUAUGUACAUAUUGCCCGUCACUCUCAUUUUAGUUGAGAUAAGUCGUAACAAAGUAAUUUUACUGGAAAGUGAAGUUAGAAAGUU